UGUAGGCGGCUUGGUAAGUCUGGUGUGAAAUCUUGGGGCUCAACCCCAAGCCUGCACUGGAUACUGCCUCGCUAGAGUCCGGGAGAGGAGAGUGGAAUUCCCAGUGUAGCGGUGAAAUGCGCAGAUAUUGGGAAGAACACCGGUGGCGAAGGCGGCUCUCUGGAACGGUACUGACGCUGAGACGCGAAAGCGUGGGGAGCGAACA
This 205-nucleotide ribosomal RNA is filed under the name uncultured bacterium. RNAcentral describes it as "partial 16S ribosomal RNA". It matches the Rfam family "Bacterial small subunit ribosomal RNA", at positions 570 to 774 of the family's 1533-position model. The record is from RNAcentral.